RNAcentral lists this long non-coding RNA (310 nucleotides) under Homo sapiens (human). RNAcentral's name for it is "non-protein coding lnc-TUBG2-1:1". The record is from RNAcentral. Lineage: Eukaryota; Metazoa; Chordata; Mammalia; Primates; Hominidae.
CUAAUUUGUCCGUAACCUCACAGAGGUGACUCUGGCGCUAGUGAACAAUGCUGCUGUGACUUAUGUGAAACCUCAACUGGCCACAUUUUGGUACUAUGCCAAAGUUGAGCUGGUUCCUCCACCCCUGUUGAGAUCCCUAGAGCUAUCCAAAGCCUGGGGGAAAAAAAUAAGUCACUAGUGCUCAAACUGGUAGCUUCAAACCGCUCACAGUUAAGGAAGUGGUGCUGAAUGAUUUGGUGGCCACUGAGGUGUGAAUGUGGUUUUAUGUUGGAGAGAUCACAGGCAAGUGUGGCAUGAUUGGCUAUAAUAU